AGGGAAUAUUGCGCAAUGGAGGAAACUCUGACGCAGCGACGCCGCGUGAGCGAUGAAGGUUUUCGGAUCGUAAAGCUCUGUCCUUGGGGAAGAAGGUCUUCGGACUUGACGGUACCCAAGAAGAAAGCCCCGGCUAACUACGUGCCAGCAGCCGCGGUAAUACGUAGGGGGCAAGCGUUGUCCGGAAUUAUUGGGCGUAAAGGGUGCGUAGGCGGCCUUUUAAGUCAGAUGUGAAAGCCCACGGCUUAACCGUGGGAUUGCAUUUGAAACUGGAAGGCUUGAGUAUCGGAGAGGGUAGUGGAAUUCCCAGUGUAGCGGUGAAAUGCGUAGAUAUUGGGAGGAACACCAGUGGCGAAGGCGACUACCUGGACGAAAACUGACGCUGAGGCACGAAAGCUAGGGGAGCAAAC
RNAcentral lists this ribosomal RNA (410 nucleotides) under uncultured bacterium. Its description in RNAcentral is "bacterial SSU rRNA". It matches the Rfam family "Bacterial small subunit ribosomal RNA", at positions 356 to 773 of the family's 1533-position model. The record is from RNAcentral.